Molecule: ribosomal RNA, 538 nt
Filed under: Salmonella enterica subsp. enterica serovar Infantis
Lineage: Bacteria; Pseudomonadati; Pseudomonadota; Gammaproteobacteria; Enterobacterales; Enterobacteriaceae
Also listed under: 2 other names
Description: partial 23S ribosomal RNA
Rfam family: Bacterial large subunit ribosomal RNA
Source: RNAcentral
AGACCCGAAACCCGGUGAUCUAGCCAUGGGCAGGUUGAAGGUUGGGUAACACUAACUGGAGGACCGAACCGACUAAUGUUGAAAAAUUAGCGGAUGACCUGUGGCUGGGGGUGAAAGGCCAAUCAAACCGGGAGAUAGCUGGUUCUCCCCGAAAGCUAUUUAGGUAGCGCCUCGUGAAUUCAUCUCCGGGGGUAGAGCACUGUUUCGGCUAGGGGGCCAUCCCGGCUUACCAACCCGAUGCAAACUGCGAAUACCGGAGAAUGUUAUCACGGGAGACACACGGCGGGUGCUAACGUCCGUCGUGAAGAGGGAAACAACCCAGACCGCCAGCUAAGGUCCCAAAGUCAUGGUUAAGUGGGAAACGAUGUGGGAAGGCCCAGACAGCCAGGAUGUUGGCUUAGAAGCAGCCAUCAUUUAAAGAAAGCGUAAUAGCUCACUGGUCGAGUCGGCCUGCGCGGAAGAUGUAACGGGGCUAAACCAUGCACCGAAGCUGCGGCAGCGACACUCAGGUGUUGUUGGGUAGGGGAGCGUUCUGUAA